CCCUGGGUGGCUCAGUCGGUUGAGCGUCUGACUACGGCUCAGGUCAUGAUCUCACAGUCUGUGGGUUCGAGCCCCACAUCGGGCU
Molecule: transfer RNA, 85 nt
Filed under: Felis catus (domestic cat)
Lineage: Eukaryota; Metazoa; Chordata; Mammalia; Carnivora; Felidae
Rfam family: tRNA
About the family: Transfer RNA (tRNA) molecules are approximately 80 nucleotides in length.
Source: Rfam by way of RNAcentral